GGGCUAGUGGCCUAAUAGAUAAAGCGCUUGACAUCUAAUCAAGUGAUUGUGGGUUAGAGUCCCACCGGGUGUG
Molecule: transfer RNA, 73 nt
Filed under: Ipomoea nil (Japanese morning glory)
Lineage: Eukaryota; Viridiplantae; Streptophyta; Magnoliopsida; Solanales; Convolvulaceae
Rfam family: tRNA
About the family: Transfer RNA (tRNA) molecules are approximately 80 nucleotides in length. Their secondary structure includes four short double-helical elements and three loops (D, anti-codon, and T loops). Further hydrogen bonds mediate the characteristic L-shaped molecular structure. tRNAs have two regions of fundamental functional importance: the anti-codon, which is responsible for specific mRNA codon recognition, and the 3' end, to which the tRNAs corresponding amino acid is attached (by aminoacyl-tRNA synthetases). tRNAs cope with the degeneracy of the genetic code in two manners: having more than one tRNA (with a specific anti-codon) for a particular amino acid; and 'wobble' base-pairing, i.e. permitting non-standard base-pairing at the 3rd anti-codon position.
Source: Rfam by way of RNAcentral